GAAGGUGUAGCUCAGUGGUAGAGCGCAUGCUUAGCACGCAUAAGGUCCUGGGUUCAAUCCCCAGUAUCUCCU
Molecule: transfer RNA, 72 nt
Filed under: Camelus bactrianus (Bactrian camel)
Lineage: Eukaryota; Metazoa; Chordata; Mammalia; Artiodactyla; Camelidae
Also listed under: 2 other names
Rfam family: tRNA
About the family: Transfer RNA (tRNA) molecules are approximately 80 nucleotides in length. Their secondary structure includes four short double-helical elements and three loops (D, anti-codon, and T loops). Further hydrogen bonds mediate the characteristic L-shaped molecular structure. tRNAs have two regions of fundamental functional importance: the anti-codon, which is responsible for specific mRNA codon recognition, and the 3' end, to which the tRNAs corresponding amino acid is attached (by aminoacyl-tRNA synthetases). tRNAs cope with the degeneracy of the genetic code in two manners: having more than one tRNA (with a specific anti-codon) for a particular amino acid; and 'wobble' base-pairing, i.e. permitting non-standard base-pairing at the 3rd anti-codon position.
Source: Rfam by way of RNAcentral